UAACCUUAUCCAUUAGAGGAAGGAGAAGUCGUAACAAGGUUUCCGUAGGUGAACCUGCGGAAGGAUCAUUGU
RNAcentral lists this ribosomal RNA (72 nucleotides) under Silene repens. Its description in RNAcentral is "partial 18S ribosomal RNA". It matches the Rfam family "Eukaryotic small subunit ribosomal RNA", at positions 1761 to 1831 of the family's 1831-position model. The record is from RNAcentral. Lineage: Eukaryota; Viridiplantae; Streptophyta; Magnoliopsida; Caryophyllales; Caryophyllaceae.